GAGAGAGAGCCCAAAUGUGACAAGGCUGCAGAGCAGAGUAGAGUCCUGCAAGAGAGGCUUUAGGGAAAAUGCAGGCUCAGCUGUCUGCAAUCACCUGGGUUUAAAAGGCAGGAAGGAAGGAAGACUGGUUGGCAAGAGACCUGGGCCUUUGAUGCCUUCCAUACCACAGAGGAAAAUGCCCAUUCUUCCCGUUAGAAGUCUGUUGGCUUUCCUAAUUAAGAGCAUCAGUUAGAAGCUGAACAUGGAGCUGGAAGAACUGAGUAGUCUCGAUCCUUGUGGAAGAGCAGACAUCUGGAGAUGGGGUCGAAACAGCAGAAGACGCAUUUUCUCAAGGUCAUGUGGCACAUUUCUUACAACAUUAGACAAAAAAGGAAGCUUAAUUUGUCCACAACGAUUAAAAAUACAAAGUGUGUUAGAUGAUUAAAUGGAAUUUGAAAUUAGUCUUAAGACACUGAUAAACUUAAAAACACUUGAAUGUCAAAUAGUGAAAACAAAAAUUAUAUCUUAAAAGCCCUUGAAGUAUUUUAGGUGUCCUUAUAGCACAUAUACGAAAACAUGUUCUUCAUGGUUAUCUCCCCCAUUUCCCAAACUCCUUGUUCUCUCAUAUCUUUCCAUCCCCAGUGCCCUCCCCUGAUCUUAAUGUCCUGUGUGUCAUUACCUUUCUAAAGCUUCAUCCUUCCUUGGAGUCCCCUUUUAUUUUAUGACUGUUUCUGCGAUUUUUCUGAAAUAGGAAUUUAUAGCUGUAAAUUUCCUUUUAGAACUGCUUUCAAUGAACCACACAGGUUCUGGUAUUUGGCAUUUUAUCUGUAACUCAAUUUUAGGAUUUUUUUUCUUUUUUCUUUUUGUUUUUUUGAGACAGGGUUUCUCUGUAUAGUCCUGGCAGUCUUGAAACUCACUCUGUAGACCAGGCUGGCCUCAAACUCAGAAAUCCACCUGCCUCUGCCUCCCAAGUGCUGGGAUUAAAGGUGUGCUCCACCACCACCUGGCCCAAUUUUAGGAGUUUUUAAGUUCUCACCUGAUGUGUUUAAUAAGCCACUUAAUAAUUUGUUCAAUGUCCUUGAAUUUGUGUAUCUUUUAUUGCUUCUUUGCUGUUAUUAGUUUUCAAUUGAAAUUAGAUAACAUAGAAGAUAUUCUUUCAAUAAUUCUUGUACGUGUUAAGACCUAGUAUGUGUUCUAAAAUGUGGUCUACUUUACAGAAAGUUCCAUAAACUGCCAAGAAGAACACAUUUCUGCUGUUUUGUGUAAAAUAUUUGUAAAACACAUUUGAUCUAAUAAGUUUGAUGUCAUUUUCUUUUAUUUUUGUGAGAUUUGGGUAUUUAUUGAAAUCUCUCAUUGUAUUUAGCUCAACUAUGACUUUACAUCAAAACGACUCAUUUUUAUAAAGUUAGGCACACUAAUAUUUAGUGAAUAUAUGUUUAGAAUUGGAACAUUUUCUUAAUAGGUUAGAACCUUUUUUUUAACUUGUAGGAAGACAUCUAUGAGAGUUUCAAAUCUCACAAAGCAAUCAAAGUGAAUCAUAUAUCCAUCUAUUCAGCUCUCAAAUGAAUUUUAAGGCAUCAAAUUGAUCCUUGAAAAGGCACACCAAGGUUGGACAGUAUAAUGAACAAAUUGUGGUACCAGUAUUAGGAUCCACAUGUAAAACUAUGGAAUCCAGUUAAACCAGUCCAUACCUAAGUUUUAAAACCAAGAUGGGCAUAAAUGUCAGAACCGUAGAUUUAAUGGUGAAUUUUCUGUUAUGGAGCCAAAAGCAUGAGCAACAGAAAAGAAAACCAGUAUGUAGAUCUGACUUAAAACUGGCUUUCACGGUAGUGAAAAUACAACCCAUAGUGGACACAUAAGGGAAUUGAAUCUAGAAAACAUAUACAAGUCUCACAGCAACAUAAUAAAAGGACCCAAUUUUAAAUAAUGGUCAAAUAAAUGUAAUAGACAAUCUAGUAAAGAGAUAUACAAAUAGAUAAUAAACACACAAACAACAGUCUGUCUUAUUAGUCUUCAGGGAAAUAUAAGUCAACAAUUGCAAAAAGGCACUAUUUCAUAACCAAGUUGGAUGGCUGUAUUAAAAUGUCAGAUUAUAGCAAGAGCAAGAGAGGAUGAGCAUAACUCAGAAUCCUCAUACACUAUGAGGAGGCUGUAAAUUAGUGCAGCCUCAUCCUGGUAUGAAAAUAUCCUGGUAAUUCUUCAAAUGCCUAAUUACAGAAGAACCAUAUAAUGGCAUAAUCUCACUUCUUGAUGUAUUCAUCUAAGAGAAAUGCAAAAAAAAAAUAGUCACAGAAAAAUAGUACACAUUUCUAGCAACAUUAUUUACAAUAGCCAGAAAGUUGAGACCAUUUAAAUAUCUAUGAACUGAUGAACCAAUAAGCAAAAUAUGGUCUACCCAUGUAACAUAAGAUUAUUAUUCAUUCAUGCUUCAAUAUGAAAAAGUUUCUGAAACUCUAUGCUAAGUAAAUAAUGUCAUUGGUAACGUAUGGCUCUAUUUUUAUAAAAUGUAAAGAAUAGGAAAUGUACAGACACUAAAAGUAGGGUGCUAUAUAAAAUUGGGAGGAUGAAAGGAAAGAUACACUAUUUUAUGUGAGGUAGUAAAAAUGGUCAAAACUAGUUGUCAUGAUUGUUGAAAAAACAUCAAAUCCACUGAAUUAUAAACUUGAAAGGAUCAACUAUGUGUUACAUAAAUUAUAUAUCAAGAGUGCUAAUAUAAAAAAUACAUGUGUUAACAUCUCACCUAGACAUACUGGUUUAGUUGUAUUCAUGUAGAUAGAUCAGGAUGGAGAAAUGGAAUCAGCAUUAACAGACAAAAUAAGAUAACAAAAACUUAAUAUGAGACGCCAAGGUCUUAACUCAAAAUCUUUAAAUUGUGACCGCUGACUGGUAUAACUGAGUGAAAAUAUAUAUCACAGCUUUCUCAGAUUUUAAUAGAUGAAUCUUUCCAACAGACCACUAGUUACAGCCUUACAGAACUCUUUUCCAAUUAAUUCAUUAAUUAACUAAAGUGAAUUAUUUAUUCACUUUACAUUCAGAUCAUAUCCUACCCUCUUUUCCUGGUCUCCCUUCAAACAGCCCCUCCUCCACACUUCCUUUUUUUUUUUUCUCCUCCGAGAAGGGGAAGGUCCUGUUUUUGUGCUUAUUCUUUUGCUUACUUCAAGUCCUUUUUUGGUUUGUUGGAGAUAGUGUUAUACCAUCCCUGGGUACCAACCCACCCUGGCACAUCAAGUCACUCAAGACUAGGUACAUCCUCUCCCACUGAGGCCAGACAAUUCCAGCCCAUGUAUCAUCUUUGGUUGUUGGUUCAGUCUCUGGGAGCUCUCAAGGGUCCAGGUUAGUUGAUUCUGUUGGUCUUCUUGUAGAGUUCCUAUCCCUUCUUGGUCCCUCAAUCCUUCCCCCCAACUCUUCCACAAGACUCCCUGAGCUACAUAUAAUGUUUAUCUGUGGGUCUCUGUGUCUGUUUUGGUCAGUUUCUAGGUGGAUCCUCUCAGAUAACAGUUAUGCUAGGCUCCUGUCUGUAAGUAUAACAGGGUAUUAUUAGUAGUGUCAGGGAUUGGUUAUUGUACUACUCUACAGUUGGCCCAUCAGGAUUCUGCAACUGUCUGUGAGUACUGUAGGUCUGUCUACUGUUUGCCUAUUUUAAUAUAAGUGUCUGAUAAUGCUCUUUUGUUUUUGUAUUCAUAUCAGUGUAGAAAAAGUAAAGAGUUAUCUUUCUCACAGUCAUGGGACCACCAGGAACUAACUUAACUUGAAUAAAGAAAAACAACAACUUAGUAACAUUAAUCUCAAAAAAGUAAGUGAAAUGUUGCUUUUUGGGAGACUGGACUGUGUUCCAUUGUGUAGAUAGCAGGGAGUGCGUGACUAUUAUGAAUGACCAGAAAGAUAGAAGAUGGAAUCAGUACCUAGAUAAAAACAGAAACUUCAUGGUUCUUGCUUAGGCCAUGCAGCUUUAUUUUCUUGUCUGUCUUAAAUUUAAUUGUUGCAACAUGAUAGGUCCUAACUAGAAGAACUUUGGUUGUCAUAUCCAGCCCCAUUAAGACUUAUUGUACAUAUUUUCCAUUAUUUUCUCCCCUGUCUGCUGGCUUGUAGGGACUCAUCUCUAGGGUGAUCAUGGAAGCAUCCCACUAUAGUAACUAUACUUCGUCAUGCAGGUCCUUAAAGGAUAUCUUGGAGCAUGGCUCCACCCACAUGGCUUACCAUUGGGGAAUUAUUUAUAUUGCAAGAAUUUGUAUCAUUAAUUUGCCUCAAAAAUGACCUCCACUGACUUAUACAUAAUUCUCAACAUUUCAUUUCCCCUGAACCCACUGAGUGUGAUACAUGUUUAUCUCUGAGUAAAUGUUUUCCCUUUCCGGUUUAUACAUACUCUAUAGAUAAAGAAUUUAGUUCUUUGAUUGUUUAAGGUAUAGAAAGAAUUCCAUCUUGAGUUUUGUGUCUUCUUGCAUUACUGGUGGCUUCUUUUCUGGAACUCUUAGUUAAAUUUAUGGUAUAUAUGUAAUUUAUAUUUUGUUAAUCUGAGAAACAUAAACAUAUUGCUCUCUAGGAAGUGUAAGCACAGUUGCAGGGGGGAAGGAGAGUCAGGCAAGAUAAGUACAUAUUAUGUCCAUUGCAUUUUCUUUCCUCAUGAGGUAUAUUUAACAACUUUUUUUUUUGCGUGAAGGAGAAGAAAUACAUUUAGAUCUGCAGCAGUCAGUCUGGAUUUGUAGACUUUUUAAUAGAUUUGGAUUACCAUUAAAUAAAUUUGAUGGAUAACUGCAGAACCAACUAAUAAUAAUAUACUAUACAUGAACUAUAUACAACUUUAAUUUGGCCCUCAUUUCAUAUUGGUAGUAUAUUGUAGCAUUCUCCCCAAUAUUUUCACUUGCAAUGCUAGAGAAAAAUUCUGGAAAGUAUUUACCAAAAAAAAAAAAAAAAAAAAAAAGAGUGUUACUCAUUUAAAUAAUUUAUUUUUCAAUCAGGAACAUCAGUGUGAUGAUUAAUACCCUGCAUUCGUUUUUUCUUUUUAAGAAACCUGGAACAAAGAGGCUUGUACAGUGUAUAUAUAUAUAUAAUUCAUUUAGGUGUUGAAGUCUGAGUCUACAUUUGUGAGAGGAAAAUUCAAAGGCGCCAUAAUUAAUAUGUCAGUCUAGGAGGAGCAGUGGAUGCGGGGGUGGAAGUUAAUGCAACUACCUGAUGUUCAGGGGAGGAAGGGGGAAAUUAGUCAGUGCGCAAGAAAAGGCCCAGCUUUCCUGUCUUCUUUCUUUGAGUUCAUGCCAAGACAAACAGGUAUAUCCGUGAGUAUCUCCAUCUGGAGGUGUGGAAAGUGUAGGUUAAGUGUAAUGGGCAGCAGUACAUUUUGAGAGGAAGUCUGAAAGGUGUAUUAGCUAGAAAGGCCAAAGUUGUUUUUCUCUGCUAUGCUGCUAUUUUUUUAUAUGAAAUGAAAGAUUGCCUCUGAACACUCCCAUCUUUUACUUUCUCUCUUGAUUAAAGAGAAUUGACAGAUGUCUCCUUUACACUUCCCCUAUUAAUACAACAUGUUAUUCUGAAGAUAGAAAUGCCAUACAAACUUGUAUGCAUCUAGGAAAAAGAAGACAGGCACCAGUUGUUCCAGAGAUGCACUGGAUCCACUAUCACUAUCACAAGAUUUGGAUAUUUUCAUCUAGGGAUAAAUGUUUUCUGGAGUUUUUCUCAGACUGCUCUUCAAGUCCUUCCAAUAACAUUUGGUUGGUUCUGUUCUUUUGAAUGUACAUUGGACCAGUAAGGACUUCCAUUCUAUCACUGUGACAAAACUUGUCGGAACAACCCUAGUAAGAAAGUACCACUUUUUUUUUUUUUCUUAAGUUAUAAUUCUGGAUGAUUGAAGAGUCAUCAUAAGGAUGGGAGGUAUGAUUUUUUCUAUAGGCUCUUUUGCCCAGAGUUUUCUUCUUUGCUCAAAUUUAUUACCGAAUCAUACGAGAGGGGAAAUCUAAAGUUUUCCAGGGGAUACUCUCUGUAUACUUUGUAGGAAAUGAGAAACUUUUAGUUUAAUUAUAGAAACUAAAUGGCCUUUUAACCUAUUAUUUUAGAACUUUGAAGUGAAAGGGAAUGGGUCUAUGAAGGAGAAAGGAUACCGGUCAUAAUGGUCAAAUAUUGGUAAGAGCUGUUUCUGGUUGAGAUAACUUUUUUUUUCUUUUUUUCUUUUUGAGAUGCUGAUCUCAGGACCCACCACAGGAAAAGGACGUUCAAAAUGAAAUGUGAGGAGGAUCAAAGAAGAGUCAGAACAAAAUCAAAUCAUGUUUCAACUCUAUUAUGUAUGUGAAAAGAGUAUUAGUAGAGCCCUCUGCAUUAAGAGGAGAAACGGGAUCUGCUCGGUGCACGAUUUACUUGGGACACAAAUUAGCGAAGAGACAGAAUUCUUGGGGUCUAGGUUUCAUGAUGUGGGGCCCACGGCCUGCUGCACUGCCUGCCACGGAUGUGGUUUCUGUGCUUUCUCUCACACCACCAACGCUGUCUGGCAGAAACUGGAACCACGCGGCUGUCUUUCUUCCAUAUCGAAGGGCUGUGCUGUGCAAAGCAUUGCUUCACGCUGCUUUCCUGAUCUGCUUUGCAUAACUGCCUGGAAAAGAGUACUUCUGUGGAUAGUCCAAAAGAGAGAGAUGCACUGAACACUAUUUUACUCGGGCAUAUUCCAUGGGUUAAAUGCAUUAAAAUUCUAUUACAGUGAAAUUCUAUAUAAGGGGCACAUUUUUCAAAUCCUGACAAUGGACAUCUAGCUUAAGAGCAUAUUUGAUACACUCUAAUUAGAAAGCAACUGAAUAGUUAGGAUAGUUGUUUUAAAAUGUAGGAUUUUAGUGGUCUGUGAGAGUUCUUGAUUCAAUUUUUGGAAGGGGCCUCAGAGAUAAUAUAGUCCAGGGAUAGAAAAUAGAUUCAUCUCGUGUGCCAAAUUUGAUCAGUUGGUGGUGGUUGCCUGGAGAGCAGUGCUAAGAAGGAAUUUAUGGUGAAGUCCAGACUCAGUGGGGAAAAGUGCAGGGAUAGAUUUUUUUUCACGUCUACCACGGUUGACGAAAGAGAGAACGGUACCAUAUGCACCAUGUAUUUGCCGACUCGACACAGUCUCCCACUUUUACAAAAUUAGAAAAGUUAGUCUAACGUUACAUUCCUAGUUAGCAGAAGAGCCCAGUCUUUUUAGCUUAGUAUUUCCCCAAAGCCCUCUCCAAAUGGAUUAAGCGACAAGCACUAACAAAAGUACUCAGAUAGAGUCUUAUAUACCAUUUCAGCAAAUACUUGCUAAGUUCCUCUUUACCAAGGAAUCACCAAACAUUUAAUGAGCAUGUACUAUGUGCUAGGUAGUGUUUGGCAUCGUCGAUAAGCUUGUGUAGCAGUAGUUGAUCAUUCUUUUUCUAUUGGAAAAAAGGUGGUAGAUUGUGUUGUCAUUUGUCUCUACCAUAUUGUUUUGUGUUCACUAAUGACCAAUUGAUUCCUGCUUCAAACCCAAAAGUUACAGCACCUAGACACCUGAGAGAGACAGACAUUUUUCAUCCUGGGUGUUUUGUUUGGCCUUUGGACUUUGAUAAAUCUUAGAAAAUGGAAUUAUAUUCAAAUGAAUCGGCAGCACAUAAUGGACCUGGUUUUUAAUAACAGGUGUCUAACGUGUGCAUGCGACAAGUAAAAUAUGCUGAUGCAAAUGGAUGAUUGCAUGUGCAAAAAUAUGCAGAUUAAUGUGCAAGCAGAUGUUCAAAUAAUUUCCCAUUAUUGCGUGCCAUUACCCUUUGUGAAUGCACAACUGCAUAUUUUGUAUACAGAUACAUUUUCAUCGUUUGUAUUUCUUGAGUGCACUUUGUACAAUCUUUGCAAAGAUUGGUAUCUCACACUCUUCACUGGGAAGCUUUAACCUUCCAGUGCAAGUUUGGUUCCCUGAGAGAGCUCUCUGCAUGAAGAAGAAAACACUAUGGCCCACCAUUAGAAAACUCAAUAUCACCAGAAGAUAAAUACUAAUUUUUAUCUGCCUCUCUUUGUUAGAAGUGUGGUCCUUUCCUAUCAAUACAGCUUUUGAUGUCAGUGUAAUAAAAUGUGAAAUCUGUGCAGAUUCUCAAACUGUCAAAACAACAGUAUGUCCUUAAAACUUAUCUUGCUCUUCUUGGUAAGUAUUUAAUGCUUUAUUUUGUUGGUUUUUCUUACAUCUCUGUUCCCACAGAGUUGCUGGUGCUCACAGAUAACCCUAUGAAUUAUGUCUUCCAUUGUGAGGCAAAAGAAAACUUGGUUUUAUGAUGAACUUUUGUGAGAUUUUUCUUGUGUCUGGACAAUUUUAGAUAUCAGAUCAAGUAUCAGAAAAUAAAAUAAAGGAAGAAUCUUA
This is a long non-coding RNA of Mus musculus (house mouse), 8287 nucleotides long. RefSeq annotates it as predicted gene 13479. The record is from RefSeq and is a predicted model, not a curated record. NCBI's taxonomy places the organism in Eukaryota, Metazoa, Chordata, Mammalia, Rodentia, Muridae. The transcript is spliced from 5 exons.